GAUGAACGCUGGCGGCGUGCCUAAUACAUGCAAGUCGAGCGAACGGACGAGAAGCUUGCUUCUCUGAUGUUAGCGGCGGACGGGUGAGUAACACGUGGAUAACCUACCUAUAAGACUGGGAUAACUUCGGGAAACCGUAGCUAAUACCGGAUAAUAUUUUGAACCGCAUGGUUCAAAAGUGAAAGACGGUCUUGCUGUCACUUAUAGAUGGAUCCGCGCUGCAUUAGCUAGUUGGUAAGGUAACGGCUUACCAAGGCAACGAUGCAUAGCCGACCUGAGAGGGGGAUCGGCCACACUGGAAAUGAGACCCGGUCCAGACUCCGAGGGGAGGCAGCAGUAGGGAUUCUUCCGCAAGGGGCGAAAGCCUGACGGGGCAACGCCGCGGGAGGGAUGAAGGUUUUCGGAUCGUAAAACUCUUUUAUUAGGGAAGAAAAUAUGUUUAAGUAACUGUGCAAAUUUGGCCGGUACCAAAUCAGAAAGCCACGGCAAACUACGU
Molecule: ribosomal RNA, 496 nt
Filed under: uncultured bacterium
Lineage: Bacteria
Description: partial 16S ribosomal RNA
Rfam family: Bacterial small subunit ribosomal RNA
Source: RNAcentral